UAGAAGUAAACAAUCAUACACGCAGUCCGCCAGAGGACUACAAGUGAAAAACUUAAAACUCUAAGGACUUGACGGUGUCCUACCCAUACUAGAGGAGCCUGUCCUAUAAUCGAUACCCCACGUUUUACCUCACCCUCUCUUGCCCAGCCUAUAUACCGCCGUCGCCAGCUUACACUGUGAACGCUUAAUCGUAAGCAAAAAAACCAAACAUUAACACGACAGGUCAAGGUGUAGCUCAUGAGGGGGCAGAGAUGGGCUACAUUUUCUAUAUAGAAAACAACUAAUAGCACGAUGAAACUGCCACCAGGCGGAUUUAGAAGUAAAACUAGCAAGACACGCUAGCUUGAAGCCCUGGGACGC
RNAcentral lists this ribosomal RNA (360 nucleotides) under Pristurus samhaensis. RNAcentral's name for it is "partial 12S ribosomal RNA". It matches the Rfam family "Bacterial small subunit ribosomal RNA", at positions 846 to 1382 of the family's 1533-position model. The record is from RNAcentral. Lineage: Eukaryota; Metazoa; Chordata; Lepidosauria; Squamata; Sphaerodactylidae.